CUUUGUCUAUUGAAACUACUUAAAGAUAAAGUAUUAAUAUUCCGAGAUACUAUUCAUUCAGUCUACUAAUAGCAUCACUAUAAAUCAGGUAAACUAAAGAUGUGUGAAAAUUGAAUACUGUAUAUAUCACAUAAUCAGUGGCGUAUCGAGGGUGCCGGGCGAGGGGCAGCAAUGACAAAACAAUCAUAAUCAGCAACCACAGAGGGAAUUGCGAUCAACACUCAUUGAGUGCUUAAUUAUUAUUAUAAAAAAAAC
Biomphalaria pfeifferi is the source of this 255-nucleotide non-coding RNA. The record is from the annotation of a GenBank genome assembly. NCBI's taxonomy places the organism in Eukaryota, Metazoa, Mollusca, Gastropoda, Planorbidae.